This 445-nucleotide ribosomal RNA is filed under the name uncultured bacterium. RNAcentral describes it as "bacterial SSU rRNA". It matches the Rfam family "Bacterial small subunit ribosomal RNA", at positions 331 to 792 of the family's 1533-position model. The record is from RNAcentral.
CCAGACUCCUACGGGAGGCAGCAGUGGGGGAUAUUGCACAAUGGGGGAAACCCUGAUGCAGCGACACCGCGUGGGUGAGGAAGCGCUACGGCGUGUAAAGCCCUAUCAGUGGGGAAGAAAAAGGACGGUACCCAAGGAGGAAGCUCCGGCUAACUACGUGCCAGCAGCCGCGGUAAUACGUAGGGAGCGAGCGUUGUCCGGAAUUACUGGGUGUAAAGGGAGCGUAGGCGGGAUUGCAAGUUGGAUGUGAAAACUGCGGGCUCAACCCGGAGCGUGCAUUCAAAACUGCGAUUCUUGAGUGAAGUAGAGGCAAGCGGAAUUCCUAGUGUAGCGGUGAAAUGCGUAGAUAUUAGGAGGAACACCAGUGGCGAAGGCGGCUUGCUGGGCUUUUACUGACGCUGAGGCUCGAAAGUGUGGGGAGCAAACAGGAUUAGAUACCCCUGUA